AGAGUUUUAUCCUGGCUUCAAGGACAAAACCGGCUUGGCGGGGCGGGCGUUAAACACAAAUGCAAAGUCAUGGGGGGUUCUUUUGGGGCGACCUGGGGAAUAACCGGCGAAACGGGGUGCGGAACACGUGAGCACCUGCCUUUCCUGUGGGGGAUAGCCGGCCCAACGGCCGGGUAAUACCGCAUACGCUCAUUUCCUCGCAUGGGGGGUGAGAAACCCUUUGGGGCGGAGAGAGGGGCUCGCGGCCUAUCAGCUAGUUGGCGGGGUGACGGCCCACCAAGGCGGCGACGGGUAGCUGGUCUGAGAGGAUGGCCAGCCACAUUGGGACUGAGAGACGGCCCAGACUCNUACGGGAGGCAGCAGUGGGGAAUCUUGCGCAAUGGUCUGACGACUGACGCAGCGACGCCGCGUGUGGGAGGACGCCCUUCGGGGUGUAAACCACUGUUGCCCGGGACGAACCGGAUCUUGAGAGAUCCCUGACGGUACCGGGUGAGGAAGCACCGGCUAACUCCGUGCCAGCAGCCGCGGUAAUACGGAGGGUGCGAGCGUUGUCCGGAAUCACUGGGCGUAAAGGGCGCGUAGGCGGCGCGGUAAGCGGGCGGUGAAAGCCCGGGGCUCAACCCCGGGUCGGCCGUGCGGACUGCCGGGCUGGAGCACUGUAGGGGCAGGCGGAAUUCCGGGUGUAGCGGUGGAAUGCGUAGAGAUCCGGAAGAACACCGGUGGCGAAGGCGGCCUGCUGGGCGGUGGCUGACGCUGAGGCGCGACAGCGUGGGGAGCAAACAGGAUUAGA
This 790-nucleotide ribosomal RNA is filed under the name uncultured bacterium. RNAcentral describes it as "bacterial SSU rRNA". It matches the Rfam family "Bacterial small subunit ribosomal RNA", at positions 8 to 782 of the family's 1533-position model. The record is from RNAcentral.